CUGGAGGACGGGCAAAUAGUAGUACCAGAAGGACUGGCAGGUGGGAGCCCUUUUUAAGCCAGAGAGAGCGAGAGAGCAAACUCCUGCAGGAGGAGAAGAAAGCUGGGUACUCAGUGAGCUGUGGUUCUUGUGUAAGGAAAGGAGCUAUCCUGAGUCUCUGAAGAAGGAAGUGCAAAUUGUGUAUGUUGUCAUUGAAAUGCAGACCAGACUGGAUUUCUCCCAGAUGCCUAGUCUCAACAUUUGGGAAUACGGACAUUUUCUCCUUCAAUGCAAAGGGAAGGAAAAUCUAAAGGUCAGGAACAAAAGUAGAAGAAGGAAUCUUCUGGUUCGCUGUAUGCUGAAGAUCCUUUUUUCUUACAAAACAAUA
Molecule: long non-coding RNA, 367 nt
Organism: Rhineura floridana
Lineage: Eukaryota; Metazoa; Chordata; Lepidosauria; Squamata; Rhineuridae
Exons: 3
Source: RefSeq, a predicted model, not a curated record